RNAcentral lists this ribosomal RNA (197 nucleotides) under uncultured bacterium. Its description in RNAcentral is "partial 16S ribosomal RNA". It matches the Rfam family "Bacterial small subunit ribosomal RNA", at positions 328 to 539 of the family's 1533-position model. The record is from RNAcentral.
ACGCUCGACACCUACGGGGGCAGCAGUGGGGAAUAUUGCACAAUGGGGGAAACCCUGAUGCAGCGAUGCCGCGUGAAGGAAGAAGUAUCUCGGUAUGUAAACUUCUAUCAGCAGGGAAGAAAAUGACGGUACCUGACUAAGAAGCCCCGGCUAACUACGUGCCAGCAGCCGCGGUAAUCUGAGCGGGCUGGCAAGGC